UACGUAGGGUGCAAGCGUUAAUCGGAAUUACUGGGCGUAAAGCGUGCACAGGCGGUUGUAUAAGACAAAUGUGAAAUCCCCGGACUCAACCUAAGAACUGCAUUUAUGACUACACAGCUGGAGUGCGGCAGAAAAAAAUGGAAUUCCACGUGUAGCAGUGAAAUGCGUAGAGAUGUGGAGGAAUACCGAUGGCGAAGGCAGCCCCCUGGGCCAAUACUGACGCUCAUGCACGAAAGCGUGGGGAGCAAACAGG
This 253-nucleotide ribosomal RNA is filed under the name uncultured bacterium. RNAcentral's name for it is "partial 16S ribosomal RNA". It matches the Rfam family "Bacterial small subunit ribosomal RNA", at positions 524 to 776 of the family's 1533-position model. The record is from RNAcentral.